This is a long non-coding RNA of Corvus hawaiiensis (hawaiian crow), 868 nucleotides long. RefSeq lists it as uncharacterized. NCBI's taxonomy places the organism in Eukaryota, Metazoa, Chordata, Aves, Passeriformes, Corvidae. The transcript has 2 exons. The record is from RefSeq and is a predicted model, not a curated record.
CCUGCCUGGGACAGAGCCUGACUGGGACAGAGCCUGCCUGGGACAGAGCCUGACUGGGAGAGAGCCUGACUGGGAGAGAGCCUGAAUGGGAGAGAACCUGCCUGGGACAGAGCCUGACUGGGACAGAGCCUGCCUGGGACAGAGUCUGACUGGGACAGAGCCUGACUGGGAGAGAACCUGCCUGGGACAGAGCCUGAAUGGGAGAGAACCUGCCUGGCACAGAUCCUGCCUGGGACAGAGCCUGCCUGGGACAGAGCCUGCCUGCUGCUCUCCCAGAGGGCAAUGUAGCACUUGCUCAAAAGUUCUCCAGGUGCAGGUCACUCAGAACAUGCUGGAGAGAUGUAGCCAAAGCUCUGCACAGCACAGGGGCCUCCGAUCGCAGGGGUCUGGAUGUGAUUUGACAAGGACUUUGGAAACAGCACUGACAGUGCUCUGAAAGCGCUGGGACCCUGUUAUAUUGUUAGAGAGAUUUUUUACCCUUGUGAAAACUAUUUUUUAAAGAUAUCUUCUACCUUUUUCUAUCUCUGGCCCAAAUGUAAGGAUUUUUAAUAGUGAAAACAAUGGAAAACCAGCCUUAGUUUGAAGAAUGCUUUCAGCCUUUCUUAUCAAAAUUUAUAAUCCUGUUAUUUUGGCUUUAUGAGACAGUGUAGAAACAGUGCUUAACCAAAGAACAAAAGGAUGUGCAUUCCUUCUGAAUUAGUCUCAGUUAAUGAUUCUCAGUUCUGUGCAUAAUAGCAAAUAAUAUCUCAUCAGCUAAAACCUCCAAGCUCAUUCUUGAGGACAUAUUUGUUUGAAAAUGAGAUGAAAGCCAGUACAAACUUUAUAUGACACCUUUUCAAACUAAUAAAAUUACUAUUUUUCUACAAAA